This 253-nucleotide ribosomal RNA is filed under the name uncultured bacterium. RNAcentral describes it as "partial 16S ribosomal RNA". It matches the Rfam family "Bacterial small subunit ribosomal RNA", at positions 524 to 776 of the family's 1533-position model. The record is from RNAcentral.
UACAGAGGUCCCAAGCGUUGUUCGGAUUCACUGGGCGUAAAGGGUGCGUAGGUGGCUUGGUAAGUUCGAUGUGAAAUCUCCGGGCUUAACCCGGAAAUGGCAUUGAAUACUAUUGAGCUGGAGGUUUGGAGGGGGGACUGGAAUUCUCGGUGUAGCAGUGAAAUGCGUAGAUAUCGAGAGGAACACCAGUGGCGAAGGCGGCUCUCUAGUACGGUACUGACGCUGAGACGCGAAAGCGUGGGGAGCGAACAGG